GACGAACGCUGGCGGCGUGCCUAAUACAUGCAAGUCGAACGCACUCUCGUUUAGAUUGAAGGAGUUUGCUCCUGAUUGAUAAACAUUUGAGUGAGUGGCGGACGGGUGAGUAACACGUGGGUAACCUGCCCUAAAGUGGGGGAUAACAUUUGGAAACAGAUGCUAAUACCGCAUAAAACCUAACACCGCAUGGUGUAGGGUUGAAAGAUGGUUUCGGCUAUCACUUUAGGAUGGACCCGCGGUGCAUUAGUUAGUUGGUGAGGUAAAGGCUCACCAAGACCGUGAUGCAUAGCCGACCUGAGAGGGUAAUCGGCCACACUGGGACUGAGGCACGGCCCAGACUCCUACGGGAGGCAGCAGUAGGGAAUCUUCCACAAUGGACGAAAGUCUGAUGGAGCAACGCCGCGUGAGUGAAGAAGGUUUUCGGAUCGUAAAACUCUGUUGUUGGAGAAGAAUGUAUCUGAUAGUAACUGAUCAGGUAGUGACGGUAUCCAACCAGAAAGCCACGGCUAACUACGUG
RNAcentral lists this ribosomal RNA (520 nucleotides) under uncultured bacterium. RNAcentral describes it as "partial 16S ribosomal RNA". It matches the Rfam family "Bacterial small subunit ribosomal RNA", at positions 28 to 507 of the family's 1533-position model. The record is from RNAcentral.